RNAcentral lists this ribosomal RNA (444 nucleotides) under uncultured bacterium. Its description in RNAcentral is "bacterial SSU rRNA". It matches the Rfam family "Bacterial small subunit ribosomal RNA", at positions 30 to 468 of the family's 1533-position model. The record is from RNAcentral.
AUUGAACGCUGGCGGCAUGCCUUACACAUGCAAGUCGAACGGCAGCGGGCCUUCGGGUGCCGGCGAGUGGCGAACGGGUGAGUAAUGCAUCGGAACGUGCCAUUGAGUGGGGGGAUAACGUAGCGAAAGUUACGCUAAUACCGCAUAUUCUGUGAGCAGGAAAGCAGGGGACCGCAAGGCCUUGCGCUCUUUGAGCGGCCGAUGUCAGAUUAGCUAGUUGGUGAGGUAAAGGCUUACCAAGGCGACGAUCUGUAGCGGGUCUGAGAGGAUGAUCCGCCACACUGGAACUGAGACACGGUCCAGACUCCUACGGGAGGCAGCAGUGGGGAAUUUUGGACAAUGGGCGCAAGCCUGAUCCAGCCAUGCCGCGUGAGUGAAGAAGGCCUUCGGGUUGGUUAAAGCUCUUUCGGUCCGGGAAGAAAUACGGCAUGGGUUAAGUACCCU